CCCAGCAAAGGCAUUUCUCUCUCCCUUCCGCAGGCAUCCCUCAGCCUGGCAACAGCAUUUCACUCGCUCCCUUCCUCAGGCAUCCCUCAGCCUGGCAACAGCAUUUCACUCGUUCCUGCUCCACAGCUCGGGAAUCGCAUUUCUCUCUUUCCCCUUCACGUGCUCCUCAUCGGGAGAAGUAAUUUUUUUUCCUCUUUUCACGCGGUCCCGCCUUCCUUCCCCCCCCCCCCCCCCGCGCGCCAGAACGCAGCAAUUCGCUUCCCCCCCCCCUCACGCGCUCCUUUGCGCGGGAGCCACGUUUUUCCUCACUCCCUUCACGCGCCUAAGUCUCGAGUCUCCCCUCGGAGAGCGGGCACGGCAUUGUUCCCCUCACAUUCCCCGACCCCCUUCCCCCCCUCACGUGCCCCUCAGCCCGCGCACGGCAUUUCUCAGCCCCCUUCCUCAGGCACCCCUCAUCACGGAACAGCAUUUCUCUUGCUCCCGCCCCACAGAUUCGGAACGACGUUUCUUUUCCCCUCAUGCGCUGCUUCAUCGGGAAAACAAGGUUUUUUCUCUUCUCACGCGGCCCCACUGCUCCGAAACGCGGCACAUCUCCCCUCCACGCGCUCCUCAGCGCAAGAAACACAUUUUUCCUCACUCCCUUCACGCUCCCGUCUCACGCCUCCCCUCAGCCCAGCAACGGCAUUUCUCUCGCUACCAUCCCGCAGCUCGGGAAUUGCAGUUUUCUCUUUCCUUCAUGCGCUUCCCCCACCGGCAGAACAAACUUUUUCUCUCCUUCGCUCGGUCCCAUUUUCCUCCCCCCCCCCCCCCCCCCCCCCCCCCCCCCCCCCCCCCACCCUCGAGUGCCGGAACGCAGCAGUUUGCUUCCCCCCCCUCACGCACUCCUCAGCGCAAGAACCACGUUUUUCCUCACUCCCUUCACGCCGCCCGCAUCUCGCGCCUCCCCUCAGCCAGGGCACGGCAUUGUUCCCCUCACUCUUCACAUUCCCCUCCUCCCUCACACGCCCCUCAGCCCGCGCUUUUCCUCAGGCACCCCUCAUCACAGGAACGGCGUUUCUUUCCCCUCGUGAGCUCCUCCAUCGGGAGGACAAAGUUGUUUUUUUUUUCCUCUCCUCAUGCGGUCCCACCGCCCCGGAACGUGGCAUUUCUCCCCCUCACACACUCCUCGGCGCGAUAACCACAUUUCACUCCGUUCACGCUCCCGCCUCGUGCCUCCCCUCAGCAACGGCAUUUCUCCCCCCCCGCCCUUCCUCAGGCAUCCUUCAGCCCGGGAACGGCAUUUCUCUAGAUCCCGCCCCACAGCUCGGGAACGGCUUUUCUCUCUUCCCUCUCACGUGCUCCUCCAUCGAAAGAACAAGGAAGCUUUCAAGCUGAUUUCCUUGUCUUGAAGAAGAAACUGCAACAAAAAUGACAAAUCUGGUUGCCUUCCUGCUGACAAAAGAAGACUUUCCUGCAUCUCAUCUGUCUGUCUUUCAGUGUCCCACUGUCACUUGACAAUGAGACAGGCUGUUCCCAUUGAAUAAUAUCUCCUCAUGUAGCGAACACUUGAUCAUUAGCGAGUUCAGUUUAAAAAGAGAUAAAUAGAGAAUAAGCAAGAAAGGCUCAUGUAUUUUCCAAAUGUAUUUUAAUAAAGAUUGUUCCAAUGAAGCA
This is a long non-coding RNA of Coturnix japonica (Japanese quail), 1650 nucleotides long. Lineage: Eukaryota; Metazoa; Chordata; Aves; Galliformes; Phasianidae. The record is from Ensembl.